CCAGCCCCUGUCCCUGCACCUCUUGGAGAGCAGCCUCACCCCCGGGACCUGUGGUCUCCAUUUGCCCCAGGAAUCAACUCAGAGGAAGCACCAUGAAGUGUGAUCUGAGCUGGGCUCUUGCUUUCAUGCUCUUAUAUGGUGUCCAGUGUGAGGUGCAACUGGAGGAGUCUGGGGGAGGCUUGGUGCCACCUGGAGGGUCUCUAAGACUCAGAUGUGCGGCCUCUGGAUUCACAUUUAGUAGCUACAGGAUGAACUGGGUCCGCCAGGCUCCAGGGAAGGGGCUGGAGUGGGUCUCACACAUUAAUGAGGAUGGAAGUAGCACAUACUACGCUGACUCUGUGAAGGGCCGAUUCACCAUCUCCAAAGACAAUGCCAAGAACAUGCUGUAUCUGCAAAUGAACAGCUUGAAAUCCCAGGACACUGCUGUGUAUUACUGUGUAAGAGACACACACACAGUGAGGGUAAUUCAGUGUGAGCCCAGACACAAACCUCCCUGCAGAAAAUGCUGUGUCCACCAGGGGAUGCUCAGGGACCCUGAACACAAGGACUAUCCCAACAGCACGUGCAAUUGGAGGUUUGGGCUGGUUUCCUGUGUGGUUUCCUCUUCAUGUCACAGUUUCCAUCAGGGAAAAUCCAGGAAUCUCUGGAUUCUUAACUCUGUAUGUACUUGUGAAGUCUCUGAGAUAGAAACAUCUGUUGUAAACAGAUAA
Pipistrellus kuhlii (Kuhl's pipistrelle) is the source of this 710-nucleotide non-coding RNA. The record is from the annotation of a RefSeq genome assembly. Lineage: Eukaryota; Metazoa; Chordata; Mammalia; Chiroptera; Vespertilionidae.